GACGAACGCUGGCGGCGCGCCUAACACAUGCAAGUCGAACGAGCGAGAGAGAGCUUGCUUUCUCGAGCGAGUGGCGAACGGGUGAGUAACGCGUGAGGAACCUGCCUCAAAGAGGGGGACAACAGUUGGAAACGACUGCUAAUACCGCAUAAGCCCACGGGUCGGCAUCGACCAGAGGGAGGAAGGAGCAAUCCGCUUUGAGAUGGCCUCGCGUCCGAUUAGCUAGUUGGUGAGGUAACGGCCCACCAAGGCAACGAUCGGUAGCCGGACUGAGAGGUUGAACGGCCACAUUGGGACUGAGACACGGCCCAGACUCCUACGGGAGGCAGCAGUGGGGAAUAUUGCACAAUGGGGGAAACCCUGAUGCAGCGACGCCGCGUGGAGGAAGAAGGUCUUCGGAUUGUAAACUCCUGUU
RNAcentral lists this ribosomal RNA (415 nucleotides) under uncultured bacterium. Its description in RNAcentral is "bacterial SSU rRNA". It matches the Rfam family "Bacterial small subunit ribosomal RNA", at positions 28 to 437 of the family's 1533-position model. The record is from RNAcentral.